This is a non-coding RNA of Ictidomys tridecemlineatus (thirteen-lined ground squirrel), 71 nucleotides long. Lineage: Eukaryota; Metazoa; Chordata; Mammalia; Rodentia; Sciuridae. The record is from Rfam.
GUGGCUGUGGCUCAGUGGUAGAGUGCUCACUCAGCAUGUGUGAGGCCCUGGGUUUGAUCCUCAGCACCACA